This 468-nucleotide ribosomal RNA is filed under the name uncultured bacterium. RNAcentral's name for it is "partial 16S ribosomal RNA". It matches the Rfam family "Bacterial small subunit ribosomal RNA", at positions 28 to 507 of the family's 1533-position model. The record is from RNAcentral.
GGCGAACGCUGGCGGCGUGCUUAACACAUGCAAGUCGAACGGAAAGGCCCUGCUUUUGUGGGGUGCUCGAGUGGCGAACGGGUGAGUAACACGUGAGUAACCUGCCCUUGACUUUGGGAUAACUUCAGGAAACUGGGGCUAAUACCGGAUAGGAGCUCCUGCUGCAUGGUGGGGGUUGGAAAGUUUCGGCGGUUGGGGAUGGACUCGCGGCUUAUCAGCUUGUUGGUGGGGUAGUGGCUUACCAAGGCUUUGACGGGUAGCCGGCCUGAGAGGGUGACCGGCCACAUUGGGACUGAGAGACGGCCCAGACUCCUACGGGAGGCAGCAGUGGGGAAUAUUGCACAAUGGGCGGAAGCCUGAUGCAGCAACGCCGCGUGCGGGAUGACGGCCUGCGGGUUGUAAACCGCUUUCGCCUGUGACGAAGCGUGAGUGACGGUAAUGGGUAAAGAAGCACCGGCUAACUACGUG